GCAUAUCAAGAAGCGGAGGAAAAGAAACCAACAGGGAUUGCCCUAGUAACGGCGAGUGAAGCGGCAACAGCUCAAAUUUGAAAUCUGGCUUCGGCCCGAGUUGUAAUUUGCAGAGGAAGCUUUGUGCGCGGCACCAACUGAGUCCCCUGGAACGGGGCGCCACAGAGGGUGAGAGCCCCGUAUAGUUGGACGCCUAGCACGUGUAAAGCUCCUUCGACGAGUCGAGUAGUUUGGGAAUGCUGCUCAAAAUGGGAGGUAAAUUUCUUCUAAAGCUAAAUACCGGCCAGAGACCGAUAGCGCACAAGUAGAGUGAUCGAAAGAUGAAAAGCACUUUGAAAAGAGGGUUAAAUAGCACGUGAAAUUGUUGAAAGGGAAGCGCUUGUGACCAGACUUGCGCCCGGCGGAUCAUCCGGUGUUCUCACCGGUGCACUCCGCCGGGCGCAGGCCAGCAUCGGUUCUCGCGGGGGGACAAAGGUCCCGGGAACGUAGCUCCUCCGGGAGUGUUAUAGCCCGGGGCGUCAUGCCCUCAGCGGGGACCGAGGACCGCGCUUUUGCAAGGAUGCUGGCGUAAUGGUCAUCAGCGACCCGUCUUGAAACACGGACCAAGGAGUCAAGGUUUUGCGCGAGUGUUUGGGUGUAAAACCCGCACGCGUAAUGAAAGUGAACGUAGGUGAGAGCUUCGGCGCAUCAUCGACCGAUCCUGAUGUUUUCGGAUGGAUUUGAGUAGGAGCGUUAAGCCUUGGACCCGAAAGAUGGUGAACUAUGCUUGGAUAGGGUGAAGCCAGAGGAAACUCUGGUGGAGGCUCGCAGCGGUUCUGACGUGCAAAUCGAUCGUCAAAUCUGAGCAUGGGGGGCGAAAGACUAAUCGAACCAUCUAGUAGCUGGUUACCGCCGAAG
RNAcentral lists this ribosomal RNA (897 nucleotides) under Humicola homopilata. RNAcentral describes it as "partial large subunit ribosomal RNA". It matches the Rfam family "Eukaryotic large subunit ribosomal RNA", at positions 38 to 966 of the family's 3401-position model. Lineage: Eukaryota; Fungi; Ascomycota; Sordariomycetes; Sordariales; Chaetomiaceae. The record is from RNAcentral.